ACCAAGAUUCCGAUUACCACAAAGUACUGGAAAUCCGGACUUGGGACCACAGGUGGCUUUGAGAAGUUUCGUUACGCCAUCGACGAAUUUCCAGGAUUUCUGGAGCAGACAUUGUCUUCGAGGAGUCGAAUGACAGAAUCCGUGUUUCCAGUUUUGUGGAUAGUAGCAUCGUCGAGGACGCUAUGAAUAGGAUUUCUAAUUUGCACUCUUGUCUAUCUCUUUCAAUUACGCCUCAAAUCUCACACAUCUUGAAUGUGUCCCCGG
This 264-nucleotide small RNA is filed under the name Histoplasma capsulatum. RNAcentral's name for it is "hypothetical RNA". The record is from RNAcentral. Lineage: Eukaryota; Fungi; Ascomycota; Eurotiomycetes; Onygenales; Ajellomycetaceae. RNAcentral also lists the same sequence under 1 other name.